GUUUUUAAAGUAUAGCCUUAUGUUUUCUGGACUUCCUUGGUUUCUGUUGUUAUGUACCCUUUUUUGUUUCUGCUUUUGUCGAUUUGCAUUUUCUCACUCUACCUUUGAGUUAAUUUGGAUCAGGAUUUGUUGAUCUUAUUGAUUUUCUCAAAGAACCAAUUCUUUGCUUCAUUAAUUAUUUGUAAAAUUUUCUUUGUUUCUAUUUUAUUGGUUUUGGCACUCAGUUUUUUGCCAUCUACUGAUUUGGGGUGUUGUUUCUUCUUUUUCUUAAGCUUCCAGGUAUGCUACUAAGUUCUUUCUAUAAGAUAUUUUCUAUUUUUUAAAUGUUGACCCUUAGCACUAUGCACUUGCCUCUUAAAACAGCUUUUAUUGUUUCCCAUAAGUUCAAGUUCAAUGUGUAUUAGUUUUCAGUCAAUUUUAGAAAAUCUUAAUUUCUUUCUUAAUUUCUGUCUCUACCUAUUUUUGGUUCAGUGGAGAGUUCUUCAGUUUUUAUAAGUUUUUAAAAUUUAUGUGUUUAUUUCUUGUUGUCAAUAUCUGUUUUUAAUCCAUGGUGAUCUCGUAGGAAUUAUUUCAAUUUUUUUGUAUCUCUUGAGACUUGCUUCAUGUUUGAGUAUAUAGUGAAUUUUGGAGAAAGUUUUAUGAAGUGCAGAAAGGAAUGCAUAUUCAUUUUUGUUUGGUGAAAUGUUUUAUUAAUAUCUGUUAGUUCUAUUUGGUUUAUAAUGUUUGUUAGUUCCAGCAUUUCUCUAUUUAGUUUUGUCUGGAUGACCUAUCUGUUGGUGAGAGUGUCUAUAGAAGUCCCCACUCUCAGGAGGAUCAAUAUUUGUGAGGGUCAAUAUGUGAUUUAAGCGGUAGUGGUGUUUGUUUUACAAACUUGGGUUCCCUUGUGUUGGGGCAAAGUUGCUAAGAAUUGAAAUGUCAUAUUGGUAAUGUUUUUCUUUGCUGAGUACAUUGGAAUAAUCAAGGCCUGAUAGCGUAGGAAUUGUUGGAUCUAGUGGAAUCAUACUGUCCUGGAUGUUAGAAGAAUGUAGUGGUUGUGUGUUUCCUGACAGAAAAUUUUCUGUGGACAUGGUGGUUGUGGCCAUUGAGGUUCCAAAUAAAAUGUGUUUCUAGAAAUUGGUAGCUGACACUUAGAAAAGGCUAGGCUUCUGAAGUGGUUCACAGAAACAAGGAAAUCAGAGUGUUCCAAUCAGAUCUAUUUACUUCAGUUGGGAGUAGAGAGUGAAGAAAGCUCACCAAAGAAAAUCAGAGAUAGACUUGAGAAUGAGACUGGGAAUUGGAUCUGGAAGAAGAGAAGGAGAUGGGAAAAAUCUACAGUCAGCCUACUUGCUUCUCUGGCAGAAGUAGCCUGUCGAUUAGCAGUAGGUGUCUGUCAGAAUUGUGAACUAGGAUAAAGAAAUGAGUGAGGGCGGGGAGAGGUUAAGAAAGAAAGAUCUGUGGGAUCCACAGUAGAUGUGGGGAGCUUAAAGGUGGGGAAGAAGGCUGUAGCAUGUGUUCUGUUUUGAAGCUAGGGAAGGGAUUACAUGAUUGGGUUUGGAGGAGAGAAAGAAGUGGUGAAGGUCUUCAGUUAAAUUACUUAUUUUCGCUGGCGUGCCCAGCUUGUGUGUUCCAAGGAAUACCUUCUAGUGUUGGAGGCUGAGAUAAUGGGAAGAGUUGGGAGAAGGAAGGUUGGAGGAGACAUUUCUGAUCCAUUGGGAAUAGAUCCACUGAGGUCAGAGAAGGAUUGCAGGGAUUGAAUAUGGAGGAACAGAAGACAGGUGAAGAUCUUCAGUCAGCCUACCUGCUCCCCUUGCAAGAGUGGUCUUUGAGUUAACAGGGAGUGCCAUCUGGCAUCCAGUGCUGGGAUAAAGUAGUGAGUCAAGUUGGGGAACAAAGACUAGGAAAAGACCUGUGAGAUUCACAGGAGAUGGGGUGUUGGGCAGCAGUAGGAUGCUGAAGCAUAUGUGUAGUUGUAAAGCUGGUGCUGAAACAUGGAGAUUGGGUCUGGAGGAAUAGAGGAGAGGUGAAAAUCUGAAGUCAGCCCUCCUGCUUCCCUGGCAGCGGUGACCUGUAGGUUCACUUGUUGGAUUUGGGGGCUGGGAUAAAGUAACAAGAUGAGGGAAGAGAUUAGGAGGGGAGAUCUUUGGGAUCUACUAGAGACAGGGUGAAGAAAGUCUGCCACAGGUUUUCUGCUGAAGAGCUGUGAAUAUAUUGGGGGAUUGGAUCUGGGGAACAGAGGGAGAAGUGGGGAUCUGUAGUCAGACUACCUGGUUCUCUAGCAGAAGUGGCCUGUGUGUUAAUAGUGGGUGCCUUCUGGAUUUGCAGAAUGGAUAAAUUGGGAGAGGGAAGUUAGGAGGGGAAAGACUGUGGGAUUAACAUGAGAUGUGGGCAGAGAGAGAAAGAAAGGCUAUAUACAGCAGGUGUUCUGUUUCAGAGCUAAAGAUGAAACUGGGGGAUUGGAUUUGGAAAAGUGAAUAGUGAAGAUCUUCAGUUAGUUUAACUGUUUCCCUGGCCUGCUCAGCUGGCUUGUUCCUCAGAAUGCUUAAUGUUAUUGAAGACUGGGAUACUGGGAUGAGUUCUGGAAAGAAAAGUUCAAGGAAAAGAUCUUUCUGACCCAUGUGAAUGGGUCAGACAGGGAAGAAAACCUUAACAGGUACUCUGCUCCAGAUCUACGGAUGAGACUAAGAAAUUGCAUCUAGAGAAAAAGGAGAGAUUAGGAUCUGCAGUCAGAUCUGCUUCCCUGACAGGUAUGUCUUCCUCAUUGCUUUAAUUUUUUCUUUUAUUUCUUGAGAUUAUGAUGUAAUUUAUCAUAUUCCAUUCCCUCUCUACCCUCAAACAUUCCCUUGAUCUUCUACAAAUCCGUAGCCUCUUUUUCAUUAUUGUUAUAUAUUAUAUAUUUUAUGUUAUAUGCUUUAUGUUUUAUGUAUUAUGUUAUAUGUUAUGUUUAUGUGUUAUGUGUUAUAUGGUGUAUGGCAUAGGAUAUAUUAUGCUAUGUUAUGUAUUAUGUUAUACAUUAUACAUAUUAUAUAUAAUAUGUAUUAAUGUUAUAUUGUAUAUACAGUAUACACAUAUAUUUCUAAAUAAACAACUAUAAUGUGCUCUUUAUGUGUUAUGUUACUUGUAAUAUAUUGUUACUUGUAAUAUAGCUUUCAGAGCUGACCAUACAAUAUUGGACAAUCAGGUGAUGUAUUCUUCCUUGUGGAAGACUCUUUCUCUCACUCUCAGCAUUUCUUAGCUCUACAUUAUUACUGUGGUAUUGAUAAAUCUUUCAACAGCAUUUAGAUUCAAAGAGGUUCAUGCUCUCAGAAGAGUUAAGAGUUUUCAAAUAUUUUGAAUGCUUUGAGAAAUAUGAAAAUUCUGGUAAAGUGAGGAGUAGGUGGCAGAAUAUUAUUUUCUUCUUUAGCUUCAACUAAGUUAUAGCCCUGUAUAUAAUUGGCUUAAUCCUUUCAGAAAUAUUAAUUCCAUAACAAGAACCUGAGAAAGAGUGAGUUCUAUGUAUUGUCCACUGAAAGUCGAAGUUUUCCUCCCUCGUUUCCUGACCCUCCCUUCACUUGUAUGCUGAGAUCAUAUUGUGGCCGGCAAAGCAGAAUGCAGUAAAACAGGAAAUUACACAGUAAAUGAAGAAAAGUCACAUUUCCAAACAUUCCUCUUAGAAAAGUUCUGUCCUGUGAUUUGUCAAUUAUUUGCUUGAUUAUAUAUAUAUUGCUGCACAAAAGGUUUAAACUCUGGUGACUUCUUAGCUUUUUUCUUUUUGUUUCCCAUAACUUCCAGAUAUCACAGUCUAAUCUAGCAUCAAAGCCCUUAGUUUUACUGCCUUAUCAUCUAAAUUGAAAUCUUGAAUCAAUUUUACGAUGAUUAUCACAUAUUAUGUGAGAUAAAGGACUGAAUUCUUUGUUUUGCCUUUUAGAUUUCUGUUUUACUCAAUUCCAUCAGUUAAAAUCUGUCUAAGUCUCAAUGUAAAGUUUUGACAUCUUGCCAAAAAUCAGUGGCCGACAUGCAGUGAUAAUCAUUUCUGGGUUCUUAAACAUACUAUAUGUUUGUCUUUAUUUCAAAGAUAUUCUUCUAAAUGUGACAUAGUAUUCAAUUCUACAUAAGCAUAAACAUUUACAUAGUAAUAGGGUAUCAUCUAAUCUUUUGAUAAUAUUUAAAUCAGAAAAAAAUAAUAUUCAGUAAUAUAUGUUUAACAUACACAUAAAAUGUAUAUAGUACAUUCUGUGUCUUCAAAAAUUGAUUAGUUUUUAUAGAAUAAACAUUCAAACUAUAACAUAGAGGUUUAAAAACUAUAUUUUAAAACUAUACUCAUCCUCCUAUACAACAGCACAUUAGACUUCCUUUCCUACACCAACUAUUCCUUGGUGUGCAUUAUUAGUCCUUCACUGUCUCCCUCCCCCAUACUCUCUCAGCUUCUAUAAUGGCCAUUAUACUCUUAAUUUCUUCCAAAGCAUCAUUUUUACAAAUUUUACAAAUUUGUGAAUGGCUGCUGCCUUAUAAUGCUUACCAUUUUUGUUUUGACAUGUAGUUCUAGUAAUAUAAUUAUUCCUAGGUUCAUUUAUGUGGUAGCAAAUGGCAAACAAAGCCAUUUUAGAUGAAUAGCUUUCUUUUGGAUGCAUAUCCAAUGCUUUCUUUACUUAUUUCUCAGUUAAUGGAUGAUGGAUACCUAGAUUCUUUUGUCAGACAUCAGAAUGGUGACACCUUCUUGCUUGUUACCCAUUUUCUUAGAAUAUAUUUAGCCAUUCCUUCACUCUAAGGUGGCACUUAUCUGUGAUGGUGAAGAUUGUGUCCUGGAAUCAAUCCUGUGUUCUGAUACAAUCUCCUAUUCUGUUUUCAGUGACAAACAUGAAAAAACUGAUCAAGCAGGAUAUCUCAAGCACACAGAGAGAGUCCUUGGAAUUGAUAACCAUCUCCCCUGUGGGUGGAAAGAGCUGAGUUCUCAGAAUGAAGUUAGAGUUUGUAGAGUCCUUGGAAUUGAUAACCAUCUCCCCUGUGGGUGGAAAGAGCUGAGUUCUCAGAAUGAAGUUAGAGUUUGUAGAGUCCUUGGAAUUGAUAACCAUCUCUCCUUCAGGUGGGAAGAGUUGAGUUCCCAGAAUGAAGUGGGAGCUCCCCUAAAACCAUGGCUCCAGAUUAUUACUGGCUUUGCCAAGCCUCUUUCUUGCUUUAGACAAGGAGUUACUUUCCUUCUCCAUGCAACAGGUGCUCAUGGAGGCCCUUGGAUGAGCCUGGCUGUCGGACUGUGAAAGGCAGCCUGUUUUCUGGUCGAGCUAAGUUUAAACCCCGGAAAUCCAGCAGAUAACUCUACAAGGGAUGAAAGGCCUGUUUGCCAUGCUCCCAAACACUAGGCUCCCGACACAAGGCCCCAGCUCCAUAAUUCUGUGGCCAUCAGUCACACAGGGCAACGCCUCAAGCUCCUUGUAUUCUGUCUGGACUUCACCCCCACAGUUACCUGGCAACAACCAGAUCCACAGUGCUGGAGCAAUGGAGCAGCUAAAAAGCCUCCAGUGUAACCUCCUGAGCAAGGCCUCUCUGCAUUCUCAGAUAUGGCUUCCACUAAACCAAACCACCUCGAGAACCAUCCGCAGUCCUCCUCCUGAACAUCCAGCGGCAUCUGUGGUGUCUGAGAAUCUGAGAACCUACCAGUCUCAGCCUCUAUGCGGGCCUGGACCCCCAAGUCCACGCAGACCUCAGACUGCGCUUCCCCACCUCCAGAGCAGGAUCCUGCAGCUUCUCACAGCCAGACACGUGGCCCGAGGCAGCAUCGUGGGGUACUUGCAGUCAAACUUCCCAAGCAGCCCUAGCUCUGUGGCAGACUGGACACAGGACACCAUUCUAAUCCACACGUGGCUCCCAACAUCUUCAGUGGAAGAAUAACAUCUAAUACCCCCUGUAGGAGUGGCUUGGUGACCAUAGAUUCCUUCAGUCUAUUUUAUCAUUAAAUAUUUUUUUCCUCCCUCAAUCUAGAUGAGAGAUUUUGCAAGGUAUAUUGCUCUAGGUUUAAAGCUGUGAUCCUUCAGAACUUGAAAUACAUAUCCAAGCCCUGAUUGCCUUUAAAGUUUUUCUUAAAUAAUU
Molecule: long non-coding RNA, 6039 nt
Organism: Mus musculus (house mouse)
Lineage: Eukaryota; Metazoa; Chordata; Mammalia; Rodentia; Muridae
Product: predicted gene, 40656
Exons: 2
Source: RefSeq, a predicted model, not a curated record